ACCAAAACCCUUCCCAGAACCCCCCCUUUCUCGUCUCUCUCACUCACCGCCCAACGUCACCGCCGGAAAUUGCCUACGGCGGCGGCCUAGCUCCAAACCACCAAAAAAUAUCACUCUAUACUCCCUCUCCCUCCUCAUUUCUAAUAUAUUACCCAUUUCCCUUAGAACCCUUCAGUUUUUGUUGAAUAGAGGAUUUAGGAAAUACCCAAAACCCUAGUCCGCCCCCUUUCAAUUUUUCACUAGUUUCAACACUCGAUUUGACCUGGGACUUGCGUUGAUCGAUUGUUCUCAACGAGAAUAAUCGAUUAACAUUAGUUUCGGUUCAUUUCAAAGAUGUCGAAAUCCGGUCAAACAACCGUUGACCGGUCAUUUGCUCCCCAAUCGUUCUGAUGUUGUUUCUCCAGCGGGUCAAGGAUCGUUUCUGUCGCUUACUUUGAGCUUAAUAGGAAGUUGUUGGCACUGACUACACGACUGUAAUUUGCAGACCUGACCACUAAUUGGUCAGGUCAGUGAAUUUUGACGCCAAAGAGUGGGAUGGAGGUUCAAGCUGAAAGCAAAAUAUAUUUUGCUUUAGGCUCAAUAUUAUCCUAACUGAUUUAUGCAUGUAUUAGAAAGCUUUAUGCCAUGUUAUCAUUAUUGAGAAUUGUAAUUGAAAUGACCACUACUGUAAACACCAGAAUCUGGUAGUCUCGAGGUUUGAAUGCCAGCUUUGCUAUUUGAUAUUCGUAUAAUUGACUUUUCUGCUCA
Nicotiana tabacum (common tobacco) is the source of this 747-nucleotide long non-coding RNA. RefSeq lists it as uncharacterized. The record is from RefSeq and is a predicted model, not a curated record. NCBI's taxonomy places the organism in Eukaryota, Viridiplantae, Streptophyta, Magnoliopsida, Solanales, Solanaceae.